AGUGCGGUAGGGGAGACUGGAAUUCCUGGUGUAGCGGUGGAAUGCGCAGAUAUCAGGAGGAACACCGAUGGCGAAGGCAGGUCUCUGGGCCGCAACUGACGCUGAGGAGCGAAAGCAUGGGGAGCGAACAGGAUUAGAUACCCUGGUAGUCCAUGCCGUAAACGUUGGGCACUAGGUGUGGGGCUCAUUCCACGAGUUCCGUGCCGCAGCAAACGCAUUAAGUGCCCCGCCUGGGGAGUACGGCCGCAAGGCUAAAACUCAAAGGAAUUGACGGGGGCCCGCACAAGCGGCGGAGCAUGCGGAUUAAUUCGAUGCAACGCGAAGAACCUUACCAAGGCUUGACAUGCACGAGAAGCCACCAGAGAUGGUGGUCUCUUUGGACACUCGUGCACAGGUGGUGCAUGGUUGUCGUCAGCUCGUGUCGUGAGAUGUUGGGUUAAGUCCCGCAACGAGCGCAACCCUCGUCCCAUGUUGCCAGCGGGUUAUGCCGGGGACUCAUGGGAGACUGCCGGGGUCAACUCGGAGGAAGGUGGGGAUGACGUCAAAUCAUCAUGCCCCUUAUGUCUUGGGCUUCACGCAUGCUACAA
This is a ribosomal RNA of 587 nucleotides. It matches the Rfam family "Bacterial small subunit ribosomal RNA", at positions 645 to 1230 of the family's 1533-position model.